This 148-nucleotide non-coding RNA is filed under the name Gorilla gorilla gorilla (western lowland gorilla). Lineage: Eukaryota; Metazoa; Chordata; Mammalia; Primates; Hominidae. The record is from Rfam by way of RNAcentral.
GCCGGGUGUGGUGGCGCUCACCUGUAGUCCCAGCUACUUGGGAGGCUGAGACAGGAGAAUCACUUGAACCUGGGAGGUGGGGGUUUCAGUGAGCCGAGAUCACACCACUGCACUCCAGCCUGGGUGACAGAGUGAGACCCCAUCUCAA